RNAcentral lists this ribosomal RNA (865 nucleotides) under uncultured bacterium. RNAcentral describes it as "bacterial SSU rRNA". It matches the Rfam family "Bacterial small subunit ribosomal RNA", at positions 8 to 866 of the family's 1533-position model. The record is from RNAcentral.
AGAGUUUGAUCAUGGCUCAGAUUGAACGCUGGCGGCGUGCCUAACACAUGCAAGUCGAGCGGUAACAGGUGUAGCAAUACAUGCUGACGAGCGGCCAUCGGGUGAGUAAUGCUUCGGAAUCUGCCCAAUGGUGGGGAAUAACCAGCCCAUAGGUUGGCUAAUACCGCCAAAAGUCCUACGGGAGAAAGCAGGGGAUCGCAAGACCUUGCGCCGAUGGUGAGCCCAUGUCGGAUUAGCUAGUUGGUAGGGUAACGGCCUACCAAGGCGACGAUCCGUAGCUGGUCUGAGAGGACGACCAGCCACACUGGGACUGAGACACGGCCCAGACUCCUACGGGAGGCAGCAGUGGGGAAUAUUGGACAAUGGGGGAAACCCUGAUCCAGCGACGCCGCGUGUGUGAAGAAGGCCUGCGGGUUGUAAAGCACUUUUAGUGGGGAUGAAAAGCUCAGGGCUAACACCUCUGGGUCUUGACCUAACCCACAGAAAAAGCACCGGCUGACUCUGUGCCAGCAGCCGCGGUAAUACAGAGGGUGCAAGCGUUAAUCGGAAUUACUGGGCGUAAAGCGUGCGUAGACGGUUAUGUAAGUCGGGUGUGAAAGCCCCGGGCUCAACCUGGGAAUGCCAUUCGAGACUGCCAAAGCUAGGGUGCGGAAGAGGGAAGCGGAAUUUCCGGUGUAGCGGUGAAAUGCGUAGAUAUGGAAGGAACACCAGUGGCCAUAGCGGCUCCCUGGUCCAGCACCGACGUUCAGGCACCAUAGCGUGGGGAGCAAACAGGAUUAGAUACCCUGGUAGUCCACGCCCAAAAACGAUGAGAACUAGACGUUGAGAGGGUAAGCCUCGCAGUGUCGUAGCUAACGGCUAAGUU